GUGUCUUCAUACGCUGUGGUCAGUUAUAGUCCUCCUCGCCGUCGAUCCCCAUUUUCCUGGAGAGUAUGAGUGGAGUGGUGAGCACAGUUCGUGUAGUAUGCUGUAGCUUAUGAAUUUCAUCCCGGAGGUGCGGCCUGAGAACGCUAGCUGCUGUUUCUUAUCCCUGUAUUCCCGGCCAUUUGUUACACCGGUCUCAUCUAACGCUGUUUCUAGCUGUUGUUUCACUCCCUUCAUACCGCUGUGUUGUAUAUUGUCAGAUUCUGUUUUGUGUAUGGUUGCGUGGUGGGCACAGUGUUAUACCGGUGCUCCACUGAGGAUCCA
This is a long non-coding RNA of Onychostoma macrolepis, 321 nucleotides long. RefSeq lists it as uncharacterized. NCBI's taxonomy places the organism in Eukaryota, Metazoa, Chordata, Actinopteri, Cypriniformes, Cyprinidae. The transcript is spliced from 3 exons. The record is from RefSeq and is a predicted model, not a curated record.